GGCACAGUCUGUCCAAUCAUCACCGGUUCCCUUGUAUUAUAGAGGAGGAUUGUAGAUAAAUUUAUUUUGCCAUGGUGAGAAAGUGUAUUGAAAUGGUUCUGCUGAAGAUAACCACCUCAUCUAAAUAUCCCCGGAGGACCCGUCUAUAAGCCCCUGGACAGUGGCUAGGGCCCCAUGGAGGCCAAAGGGCAUGACUGUAAACUGGAAAAGGCCAAGGGGAGUUUGAAAGGCAGUCAUCAAUCCUUGACAUUGGGUAUGCAUCAAAGAAGGCAAUGGCAUACCAGAAGAGACCCAUCCUUUUUGGGAUAAUGACUGGGGAUAAUUCCCUGCUUAGCUUGGCCGAGGCUGUUUUCCUGUCGGAUAAUUUAUUGAAAUGUAUUUACGUAUGUGGAACGAAAUACCGUAUCCAAGCGAUCAGUCUGCAGUGAGAAUAGCCACAAACAAUGAAAUAACCUAAAUAAAUACAGCAAUUAAAAUUUAACAGCGAACAAUAAAUCCAAUGUAACCGAUGCACUUCCCAAUAUCUUAACUUAGCAAUAUCAAAGACAAACUGAACGGCAUACUAUCCACAAAAACUGUUAAUUACUGAAACUUAUGCCUUAGACCUGGGUUGGCAGAAAGGUGAAAUGCGGACCUGUCUACUGGGACAAUUGCGAUAAGCUACACAAAAUUGGCAAUGAGCUGCUCACACUUGACUGGCACACCCCGAGCAGCGGCUAUCCUCUCACUUCAGCGUGCCGCGAGUCCCGAAAAAAGUGAAAUCAACAGCUGGACAACUCACAACUCGGCAGACACCAGCCGGAAAAUAUGGCCCGAAGUGUAUCCCUUUAACUUAAGAAUUUGCAAGUUUGGAGGAGGAGAGUUCACCGCAUCAGCUGUGGAGACUGCAGCACAAGCACGGACGUAUACAAUUGGGUAUUCAAAAUUUUGGAGAAAUGUGGUAAAGCAUACAAUUUCUCUUUGAUUUGGUUGCGCAAUGGCAGCAAUCUGCUUCUGCAGGUACUCUACAUGGUGUCUAUUUUAAUGUACCCAUUGUGUGACUGUUAUUACGUAACCAUAAUCGCCUCAGCUCGUUUUAUUCAGCCGGGACCACAGAAAAGAUGGGGAAUAGGGCGUAACGUGAAUGUGUGUGUGUGAUGCGCGUGUUUCAAAACCCCCUCCUUUGCUGAAAAACACUGGCACCCGCCGUCACCCUCUAAAUACAGGUGGGCGAUACCCUCAGUUCCAACCAGGAUGUCGUGCUCCCCGUGCAAUCCACCAGUCUAGGGUCCUGCUUUCCGCUGCAGCUUCAGCGACCAGCUCCGCGAUCUCUCUCCCUUUUCACUUCAACU
Molecule: long non-coding RNA, 1331 nt
Organism: Conger conger (European conger)
Lineage: Eukaryota; Metazoa; Chordata; Actinopteri; Anguilliformes; Congridae
Exons: 3
Source: RefSeq, a predicted model, not a curated record